CAGCCCACGCAGUGAGCCGAGCUCCGCCCCUUUUACUCCGGUUCUGCGCUUCACUCUGCGCCUGGCAGCGAGUGGGGCGCUCGCAGGGCCCGGUUGACACACGCUCGGCUCGCCGAAGCUUGGAGGUUUCGGACUGAAGCGUUUGCAUCUUGCUUCCCUCCCCCUGACCCUGUGUCUUAACUCCAGGGGAGAACUCCCCGCGUCCCAGCUGGUUUUCCAGUCCUCUUUGACUCUUCCGCUAUAGCUUCAAGGAGCCUUCUCCUGCACAUUUUGCACACCCAAACCGCUCCUUGAAGUCAGACGUGGGGGUGCAAAGAAUGCAGGCUGAUGCCGCAGAGGACUAGAAUUCCACCUUGUCCUGAGGCAGACCAUUCAUUUGAGUCUCAGUGGAAGCAGGAAGAUGAUGAUGGCGUCAAAAAUCUUGGACAUGUACACUGGGAAGGGAAGAAUUAACCAGCAGGGAAGAGACUUGGAAUCACCUGCCGGAGGGCCAAGACAUGAGGCGGCAGGAGGCAGCCAUUGCCCCAGGAGGGAGACAACAAUCACACCAUGCCUGGCCAAGAAAAGAUGUCAAGUGAUGAGCUGACCCCCUUCACAGCCUCCGCUGAUAGACUGCAAACUUUGGACAAUAGCAGGGUGGUAGGAAGUGGCCCAGGGAGAGCAGCUUUAAGAUACUCCUGGGUAUGAGACCCUUGUGUUGCCCUCACGGGGCCCUGGGCUGGAGCCUGGUGGAGUGGGAGGUCUCAGCCCCUACUCCCCGCAUGUUGAAAGGUCAAAGCCUUGACCACUAGUAGUGCCCCCCCACCCAUCCCCACAAGUGAAAACCGCCACAGAUCCACAUGCUCAAAACCUAAGAGGCUAAUAAGUCAUGGCUAUUGUUACUCCGACUCUGAUUGUUACAAAGUCUGAAAAUAGCUAAACAAAUGUGAUAAUUCAUCAUGGCCAUGUUGUUUGUUUCCCUGAGCUCAGUCCUCAUGGGCACAUUAGAAAGAGUGCCUCUUAAAUGGGCAGUUGAAAAAGCAGGAAUAAGAACAGCGAUAUUAUUCCCAGCAAAGUUUCAGCAUAUCAGUGACGAAAAAGUCUAAUACAUCUGGGCCAUUAAUUCAGCUAAGAGCCCUGCUGGAAAGAAGUUUUAAGGGAUCUGGACUGAUUUGCUUUAAGUUCUAAGAAGAAUAGGACUAAAAUACUUGUAUCUAGGGCCCUUCCAAUUUCACAGCCGUGGAAAAUGUGUCACAGACUGUUAAAUCAGCCGUUCCCCGUGAAAUCUGAUCUCCCCUGCUGCUGGGAGCAUGGGGCUCCUAGCUGCUAUUCUGGACAUGCUAGGGAGGGACUGGAAUUGUCCUUCACCUGCAUGGCCACUCUUGGUGGGGAGAUCAGAUCCACCUCCAGAGGUAGCGCAGAAAUGAGGGUGUUACACCUUCACUUCUGCGCUGCAGCAGCCUAGAAGCUGGGCUCUGGGCUUCCAUCCCCCCCUUUCCCCUCCCCCGCAGCUCUGGGUGCCGAGCUCGGGGCUUUCUCCCAGGACGACUCCUGCUGGGGCUUGGGGCUUCCACUCCUAGUGGCUGCAGAUGGAGCUCAGGACAGCCUGGGCUGGAGGCUUCCACCCCCCACUCCCUCGCCACUCCACCUGAGGCAGCCCAGGCUCUAGGCUUCCAUGCCCCCCUUACCCCACACCAGCUGGGACAACCCAGGCUUGGGGCUUCUGCCCCCUGCCACUUCAGCUAGAGUUUGGGGCAGCCCAGGCUCAGGGCUUCUGACCCCUCCCCCCCGCUAGCCGGAGCAGCCCAGGCUUAGGGCUUCAGGCCCACGGCUGUAGCCGGGGUUUGGGGCACUUGGGCUUGACGCUUCUUCCCCCAUGGCUACUGCUGGGGCUCAGGGUGACCUGGUCAGGGCUUUUGCCCUAGGGCUUCUUCCAGGGCUGGGGCACAGGGGCCCAAAUUGGCUGGGGUCCCCUGCUUUAUUCUGUCACUGGCCUGGAUUAGCAGCGAGGAGCCCCCAGCUGGGGUGCUUGCAGCAGCAUAGGGGAGAUCCUAUGCACCUCCAGGAACCUCCUCUAACUGCAGGAAGCUGGGAGGGUUAGGGUGGCCCCUCCUAUAACAACUUUGCAACCCUUCCCCCUCCCCCCUUCCCAUUUUGGGUCAGGACCCCCAGGGUUACAGCACUGUGAAAUUUCAGAUGUAAACAUCUGAAAUCUUGAAAUUGAUCAGUUUUAAAACCCUCUGGCUGUGAAAUUAAUCAGAAUGGACUGUGAAUUUGGUAGGACCCUACCUGUAUUUUAAUUGUUGCCCUACUAAGACAGGUGGACUUCAGUCUGUCAGUACAUAUCUGGUCAAAUUAAACGAUACAAAAAUUGCAAAUCCUGCUGCUUCAAAAACCAUGAGUUUGAUUCAAUCCAACUCUUCCAGCCAUGGACAAUUAACAUGCAAAUCUGGGCCCAAUCAUGCUGUUCCUUUGGACUCACUCAGGUGCAGGCAAGAUCAAAGGCAUCUGAAAUAUUUGCUGUUGAAAAAAGAAACUGGGAAAUUAUCCAGCACUAGAAUAAGGGCAGUCACACGCUGUGGUGGGGAGG
Long non-coding RNA from Mauremys reevesii (Reeves's turtle), 2569 nucleotides. RefSeq lists it as uncharacterized. The transcript is spliced from 3 exons. The record is from RefSeq and is a predicted model, not a curated record. Lineage: Eukaryota; Metazoa; Chordata; Testudines; Geoemydidae.